RNAcentral lists this long non-coding RNA (318 nucleotides) under Carica papaya (papaya). RNAcentral's name for it is "long non-coding RNA (CPAP_LNC005123)". Lineage: Eukaryota; Viridiplantae; Streptophyta; Magnoliopsida; Brassicales; Caricaceae. The record is from RNAcentral.
GAACUGCUCAGAUUCAUUUUUUCUUUAAAUAUGAUCGUAUGGUUGAGAUCAAAUCGCGAUGAACGGUCCAGAUUCAUUUCUUCUUUAAAUGCGAUCAUACGGUCAAGAUCAAAUGCGAUGAAUGACUCAAAUUUAAGGGAGACAGAUAUAAAUAUCUUACAUCACACCGAACUCAAACCCUAACCGCCAGCCUCCCACCGGAGAAGAAGAAUUAGUUGCCGGAUGAGGGAGUCGAUCGUCACCUGCCGCUUAUCGUCACGCUGGAGCCACCUUCGAUUGCCAAAAAAAGUAAACAUCCUCUUAUCCGCUCGAAAUUUG